GGGCCGCUAGCUCAGGAGGUAGAGCAACUGCCUUUUAAGCAGUGGGUCGAAGGUUCGAGUCCUUCGCGGCUCACCA
RNAcentral lists this transfer RNA (76 nucleotides) under Nitrospinota bacterium. RNAcentral's name for it is "tRNA-Lys". It matches the Rfam family "tRNA". From Rfam's summary of the family: Transfer RNA (tRNA) molecules are approximately 80 nucleotides in length. Their secondary structure includes four short double-helical elements and three loops (D, anti-codon, and T loops). Further hydrogen bonds mediate the characteristic L-shaped molecular structure. tRNAs have two regions of fundamental functional importance: the anti-codon, which is responsible for specific mRNA codon recognition, and the 3' end, to which the tRNAs corresponding amino acid is attached (by aminoacyl-tRNA synthetases). tRNAs cope with the degeneracy of the genetic code in two manners: having more than one tRNA (with a specific anti-codon) for a particular amino acid; and 'wobble' base-pairing, i.e. permitting non-standard base-pairing at the 3rd anti-codon position. Lineage: Bacteria; Pseudomonadati; Nitrospinota. The record is from RNAcentral.